Non-coding RNA from Peromyscus maniculatus bairdii (prairie deer mouse), 396 nucleotides. The record is from RefSeq and is a predicted model, not a curated record. NCBI's taxonomy places the organism in Eukaryota, Metazoa, Chordata, Mammalia, Rodentia, Cricetidae.
GUGAUCUGUCGCCCACAGGAACCCAUGUGACUGUACUCGUGGGCCUACCUGCUUUUCUGUUGCUCCGGGAAAAUGGUAACCAAAAGCAAGUUGUGGUCGCACUGCCCAGAAUGGGUCCAGCCCCGCCACAUCGAUCGUUAAUCAAGCAAAUGCUCCAACGGUGUGCCCACAGGCCAAGCUGAUGGAGGCAAUUCCUCAGUGGAGGUUCCCUCUCCCAGGGGUGCAGCCUCUCUGGAAUAAACAACCUCCCACCCACGCUCAGGCAAGAGACUCUGACCAAACUCUGGACCCCACACAAGAAGCUGUGAGAUAAGGGGGGCCGUCUUGCUGAGAAGGCCCAGCGGGAGAGGAAGGGAAUGAUGAACUGGGGUGUGUGUGAAAAUUACUAAAAUUCAG